Molecule: transfer-messenger RNA, 349 nt
Filed under: Acidaminococcales bacterium
Lineage: Bacteria; Bacillati; Bacillota; Negativicutes; Acidaminococcales
Rfam family: transfer-messenger RNA
About the family: Bacterial tmRNA, also known as 10Sa RNA or SsrA, is named for its dual tRNA and mRNA-like properties. Its role is to liberate the mRNA from a stalled ribosome.
Source: RNAcentral
GGGGGCGUACUGGUUUCGACAGGGGCAGUUGUGGCAAGAUAAGCGAGCCGGUGUUCCAUCAGACCGUAAAACGGUGGGCCUUUAUAAACGCAGAAGAUAAUUUUGCAUUAGCGGCUUAAGCCGUUAACGUUUCGCCGGGUUGCGCCCACUAACCCGGAUGAGGCGUCAUUUCGUGGGCUACCGUGUGGCUUUUCGCCCGGAGGAGCCUUGCGGGAAAUUAAUCUGGGCUGGUGAAUAAAGAGCCCGCCGCCUGGCGCUUUAUGAACGACGCUCAAACAAGCGGCUGCGCCCGGAGAAAGUCUUGCGUCAAUGCUUUUGGACAGGGGUUCGACUCCCCUCGCCUCCACCA